Molecule: long non-coding RNA, 1222 nt
Filed under: Homo sapiens (human)
Lineage: Eukaryota; Metazoa; Chordata; Mammalia; Primates; Hominidae
Description: non-protein coding lnc-CRIPT-1:2
Source: RNAcentral
CUUCACUCUCUCUCCUUCCCCCCUCCCUUUCUGCACAUCUUGCAUCUCAGAAGCCCCCUCCCGGAAACUAGAUACAACUCCAGGGGAAGGUGAGGUUGAAAUCCACAAGUUCACUGAGAUAAAGUUUCUGACAAUGCAAAGAAAGGGAGGCUUGAAAUCAAAAUUAGUUUCUAUUUCUUACAUAAAUGUCUGGACUAGAAUUGUGUCCACUGCUCAGAUCUUACUUAUAUUCAGGGAUGACGUAUCUCAUGGAAGAACAGGGCUCAACGAGCCACUUAAAUGUCUUCCUAUCAAAUGUUAAGGUUCUAGAAACCAAAUGGUGGGUAUAUUAUCCAACAUAUGCCGUGAAAGCAGAGCCAAUCCUGGGGGAAAGCUUCUCUCCUAAUGGUAAGGUGUCCAUAUCCUCUGCCCCAAGAACCAAGACAAGUGAUCUGACAAGUGUGAAGACUGCUUUUCAACAUGAAAAAGAGUUUUCUUAAACUCAAGCAUGAUAUUGGCUCUACUUUGAAUAUCAGUUACGAAAAUUCAUAACGAGCUGAGGUAUCUUCACUAACAUUGCAAAUUAAUUUCUUGUAUUCAUCACAAUGACAUUUAUGUGUAUUUGAAAAGUAAUCCAUAUGGAUGAGCAUAUUUUUCAUUCACUCUACAGACGGAACAUGCACGCUGGUUUGCAGAUCCCUUGCAGUGACUCUACAGCUCCCAGGAAUCUGAGGUUCACAAGGUGAAACCUACCAGGCCAAACAAUUUAAAAUUGGUUUUGUUUUGAAAAUCCAAUUGUAAGCCCAUCUGUGUUUGCUCAGCCCUGUGUGUGCAACAGAGGUGCUGAAUGAAGACCUAUCGAUGAUUGAUUGAUACGUUAAAGAUUAUUUCCUCCUUCCUCAGAAUGCUACACUUCGCUCAUCAAUGGAGCUCAAGAUGUAAAAGUCUGGUUUAAGAGACAUUGAAUCUAUUCUGCCUUUUAUUAUCCCUUUCUUAUAAGUUGACUUUUAAGAAAUCAAUGACUGUGUGGAGAGUUCUAACUGGGUACGUAAUAAAAUAACCAACUGUGGGGGUGGGCAGGGGGCCCUAUCGCACCAGGAAGCUUGUUUAUUGGUUGCAUUAGACCACUAAAGUGGAAGCACUGAGAUAUUCUGGAAAGAACACAGCUUGGGGGCCAACAGAUCUGGGUUCAGAGCCUUACUGCAUCACCUACAAGUUGUGUCUCUUUAGAAAAUUUACUUAA